This is a long non-coding RNA of Piliocolobus tephrosceles (Ugandan red Colobus), 866 nucleotides long. The record is from Ensembl. Lineage: Eukaryota; Metazoa; Chordata; Mammalia; Primates; Cercopithecidae.
GGACUUAAGUUUUUUUUCCUUCAAGUUCUGGAUAUUUUAACUGAACUUUUGCUUUUUUUGAGAUUCCACUUAUAGUAAUGCUAAUUCUCUUUCAGCUCCUGGAUUCCCUUCCAAUCAUUUGUAACACAGGAAGACUUUCCCAAUCUCUGAAGAUUUUCUGUCUUCCGUCUUUCCAUCUGAGAUGCCUUUUCUCCAGCCUCUGGAACUUUUGCAUCCGGGGUCAUGCCUGAAGCCAAAGUCAGGUUCAUUGUGUAUUUUUCUGAAAAUAAGAAAGAAGAAGAAGGAGAAGGAGAAGGGGAAGGAGAAGAGGAGGAGGAGGAGAAAGAAGAAAGGGAAGGGAAGAAGAGACGAGGAGAGGGAGGCAGAGGAAGAAGAAGGAGAAGAAAAGGAGAAGAAUGAGAGGAGGAAGGAAAAGAGAAGAAAGAAGAAGAAGAAAGAAGAAGGAGAAGAAGAAGGAGGAGGAGGAGAAGGAAGAAGAAGAAAUAAUUUAUAGUCCUGCUUCUUAGAGUUUACCCUUACUAAUAACUUGACAUAUUUUCCUAGGGUUUUGACUACGUAAGUAUAUACUUUAAAAAAGGGGAAAUUAUGAAAUUAUAUUGUACAUCUUGUUUUAUAACCUAAUUUUUCACAUUAAUAAUUAAUCAAGAAUAUUUUUCCUUGAUGUUAAAGAUCCAUCACAUUACUUUCAAAGAUUGCAUAAUCUUUUACACUGAGAACAGAUUACAGUUUAUAUAAAUUGUUUUCAAGGUUUUUUUUUUUUUUUUUUUUUUAAGAUACACAGGUAUCAGUGAAUAGUCUUUAGCUGAGGCUAAAUCUUUGUAGAUUUCUGUGAUCAUUUCUUCAGGGCAUAUUCUUAGAAGCGAAAU